Molecule: ribosomal RNA, 1146 nt
Filed under: Gilliamella apicola
Lineage: Bacteria; Pseudomonadati; Pseudomonadota; Gammaproteobacteria; Orbales; Orbaceae
Also listed under: 1 other name
Description: bacterial LSU rRNA
Rfam family: Bacterial large subunit ribosomal RNA
Source: RNAcentral
GUUGUAAGGUUAAGAAAUUAAGCGUACACGGUGGAUGCCUAGGCAAUCAGAGGCGAAGAAGGACGUGUUAAUCUGCGAAAAGCGACGGUGAGCCGAUAAAAGGCGCUAUAGCCGUUGAUGUCCGAAUGGGGAAACCCAGUGUAGGUGACUACACUAUCAUAUAAUGAAUUCAUAGUUAUAUGAGGCGAACCGGGAGAACUGAAACAUCUAAGUACCCCGAGGAAAAGAAAUCAACCGAGAUUCCCUAAGUAGCGGCGAGCGAAAGGGGAGGAGCCCAAGCGGGUAGCAUGAUGUAUUAGUGGAAGCGUCUGGAAAGUCGCACGAUAGAGGGUGAAAGUCCCGUACAUGAAAAUGCAUGAUGUGGAAGCUUAUAGAGUAGGGCGGGACACGUGAUAUCCUGUCUGAAGAAGGGGGGACCAUCCUCCAAGGCUAAAUACUCCUGAUUGACCGAUAGUGAACCAGUACCGUGAGGGAAAGGCGAAAAGAACCCCGGGAGGGGAGUGAAAUAGACCCUGAAACCGUGUACGUACAAUCAGUGGGAGCUGUUACCGUUGGGUAAUAGUGACUGCGUACCUUUUGUAUAAUGGGUCAGCGACUUAUAUUCUGUAGCGAGGUUAACCGAAUAGGGGAGCCGAAGGGAAACCGAGUAUUAACUGUGCGUUAAGUUGCAGGGUAUAGACCCGAAACCCGGUGAUCUAGCCAUGGGCAGGUUGAAGGUUGGUUAACACUAACUGGAGGACCGAACCGACUAAUGUUGAAAAAUUAGCGGAUGACCUGUGGCUGGGGGUGAAAGGCCAAUCAAACCGGGAGAUAGCUGGUUCUCCCCGAAAGCUAUUUAGGUAGCGCCUCAUGAGUAACUGUUGGGGGUAGAGCACUGUUUCGGCUAGGGGGCCAUCCCGGCUUACCAACCCGAUGCAAACUCCGAAUACUGACAAGUUUAAUCAUGGGAGACACACGGCGGGUGCUAACGUUCGUCGUGAAGAGGGAAACAACCCAGACCGCCAGCUAAGGUCCCAAAGUCAUAGUUAAGUGGGAAACGAAGUGGGAAGGCUUAGACAGCUAGGAUGUUGGCUUAGAAGCAGCCAUCAUUUAAAGAAAGCGUAAUAGCUCACUAGUCGAGUCGGCCUGCGCGGAAGAUGUAACGGG